RNAcentral lists this ribosomal RNA (682 nucleotides) under uncultured Pseudomonas sp. RNAcentral describes it as "bacterial SSU rRNA". It matches the Rfam family "Bacterial small subunit ribosomal RNA", at positions 28 to 704 of the family's 1533-position model. Lineage: Bacteria; Pseudomonadati; Pseudomonadota; Gammaproteobacteria; Pseudomonadales; Pseudomonadaceae. The record is from RNAcentral.
AUUGAACGCUGGCGGCAGGCCUAACACAUGCAAGUCGGGCGGUAGAGAGAAGCUUGCUUCUCUUGAGAGCGGCGGACGGGUGAGUAAUGCCUAGGAAUCUGCCUGGUAGUGGGGGAUAACGUUCGGAAACGGACGCUAAUACCGCAUACGUCCUACGGGAGAAAGCGGGGGACCUUCGGGCCUUGCGCUAUCAGAUGAGCCUAGGUCGGAUUAGCUAGUUGGUGAGGUAAUGGCUCACCAAGGCGACGAUCCGUAACUGGUCUGAGAGGAUGAUCAGUCACACUGGAACGGAGACACGGUCCAGACUCCUACGGGAGGCAGCAGUGGGGAAUAUUGGACAAUGGGCGAAAGCCUGAUCCAGCCAUGCCGCGUGUGUGAAGAAGGUCUUCGGAUUGUAAAGCACUUUAAGUUGGGAGGAAGGGUUGUAGAUUAAUACUCUGCAAUUUUGACGUUACCGACAGAAUAAGCACCGGCUAACUCUGUGCCAGCAGCCGCGGUAAUACAGAGGGUGCAAGCGUUAAUCGGAAUUACUGGGCGUAAAGCGCGCGUAGGUGGUUUGUUAAGUUGGAUGUGAAAUCCCCGGGCUCAACCUGGGAACUGCAUUCAAAACUGACUGACUAGAGUAUGGUAGAGGGGUGGUGGAAUUUCCUGUGUGUCUGCUGAAUGUUUAUAUAUAGGAGGC